This 728-nucleotide ribosomal RNA is filed under the name bacterium enrichment culture clone ADE_3. RNAcentral describes it as "bacterial SSU rRNA". It matches the Rfam family "Bacterial small subunit ribosomal RNA", at positions 769 to 1502 of the family's 1533-position model. The record is from RNAcentral.
CAAACAGGAUUAGAUACCCUGGUAGUCCACGCCCUAAACGAUGUCUACUAGUUGUUGGGUCUUAAUUGACUUAGUAACGCAGCUAACGCGUGAAGUAGACCGCCUGGGGAGUACGGUCGCAAGAUUAAAACUCAAAGGAAUUGACGGGGACCCGCACAAGCGGUGGAUGAUGUGGAUUAAUUCGAUGCAACGCGAAAAACCUUACCUACCCUUGACAUGGCAGGAAUCCCGGAGAGAUUUGGGAGUGCUCGAAAGAGAACCUGCACACAGGUGCUGCAUGGCUGUCGUCAGCUCGUGUCGUGAGAUGUUGGGUUAAGUCCCGCAACGAGCGCAACCCUUGUCAUUAGUUGCUACGCAAGAGCACUCUAAUGAGACUGCCGGUGACAAACCGGAGGAAGAUGGGGAUGACGUCAAGUCCUCAUGGCCCUUAUGGGUAGGGCUUCACACGUCAUACAAUGGUACAUACAGAGGGCCGCCAACCCGCGAGGGGGAGCUAAUCCCAGAAAGUGUAUCGUAGUCCGGAUUGUAGUCUGCAACUCGACUACAUGAAGUUGGAAUCGCUAGUAAUCGCGGAUCAGCAUGUCGCGGUGAAUACGUUCCCGGGUCUUGUACACACCGCCCGUCACACCAUGGGAGCGGGUUUUACCAGAAGUAGGUAGCUUAACCGCAAGGAGGGCGCUUACCACGGUAGGAUUCGUGACUGGGGUGAAGUCGUAACAAGGUAACCA